AAGAAAGUGAAAAUUAAUCGCUAGAUUGUAUUUCAUUAUCAUUUUCAAUAACAACUACAUAUCGAGAGUGCAAAAUCGCAUAGUUACAAUCGGUAGUUCCAUUAUAGUCAUGUCUGUUACAACUGUAAAACAGGCAAUGGGUAUCCUGUUCCGAUCUAUUGGUAACAACUAAGAGAUAUUCUGUUCAUAUCCAAUACUUGAUGAACGCCGGAUGAUGGCCAAAAAUUUGGUGGAGCUCAUACUAAUAAUGUCUUGCAUGCGGAUGACUUAGUUUAUGAGUAAUUUUUAUAUCAACCCAACACAAUGACAAGGUAGGCUGCCCAUGUCCGUAUGCGUCCCAAAUUCUAUUUUGGUUAAGAGGAAAAAUCAAGUCAACCGUGAAGUUCACCAUGGCCCUCGAGGAGCUUGUAAAGGCCUUCUUUUGUCCAAUACCAAAUAACCAUGCUAAAAAGAAGAAAACAAUGAUCUCCUCGUACUUGGAAGAAUUAUUGAUGUCCUUGCUGUGGGAAGGAAGAAUACUGCAGAAAACUUUCCUACUUCAAGGUUGUGAGGUGGCCUCGUACUUGGAAGAAUUAUUGAUAUCCUGUGGGAACGAAGAAUAUACCGGAAGGAAGAAUACUGCAGAAAACUUUCCUACUUCAAAGUUGUGAGUUGGCCUCGUACUUGGAAGAAUUAUUGAUAUCCUGUAGGAAAGAAGAAUAUACCGGAAGGAAGAAUACUGCAGAAAACUUUCCUACUUCAAAGUUGUGAAGUGGUCCUGAUAUAUAUUUAUAGUUGAAAAUGUAUACAAUCAGAAUAAUACAGAGAUAGAAGUAAUAAAUGGAUCCUUAUAAUCAAAUUUCUAAACGUAUGCAAUGUCAGAAUUUAUAGUUCAAAAUUUUUAAAAUUAUGAAUCGAUAAAUAUGAGCAAGUUUGGCAUGCGACCUUGAAAGACAUUCAAACCCACCUGUGGAUCUCACAGAAGACUCGGGUAAUCAACGGCCUUCUGGUGAACUCCAGGUUUUGUGUUGCCAUGCUCAUUUCCAAAUAAUAUUGGACUUGGUGCAGAGUCUAAAAGAUAGCAAUUUAACAUUGAGCUAUGAGAGUCCGGACAGUCAAUGAUAGAUGAUAACAAAUCCCUGAGUAAACAGAUGAGGGAAUCCACCUGCGAAACUAUGGAGGAAAAAAAAAAAAAGCUUCAUGUCUCCCAAAACAUCCUCGCAACGUUUUGCAACUCAGGGUUUUGUACAAACAAUUAAAAAACGAAUUUGGCAUUUCGACUCCUUUUUAGCAACCAGAUUAAACAUGGGUGUUUCACAGCAAAAACCAGGUUUAAACACUUUGGGGAUCGAGGUUCUUGAAAAAAAAAAAUAGCAGCACUCAGACGUUUUACAGUAGAUAUGAGGACAAGAAGUAAAUCAAUAUAUGAUGGUGGAGAACUUCUUGGGGAAUAUUAUAAGCAUAUAUACCUGGCACCUUUGCAUCUCCUUCUACCAUGCAUCACCUUCUUUUUUUGAGAAGUUAUACUGAAAAAAUCGCUCGCCGCAACGAAGGGUCGUGCGGUUUACAGAGAGAGAGCACAUCUCUCUCUCAAAGCACCUGAGAGGCUUUGAGAUCAG
This 1598-nucleotide long non-coding RNA is filed under the name Phoenix dactylifera (date palm). RNAcentral describes it as "long non-coding RNA (PDAC_LNC002263)". The record is from RNAcentral. Lineage: Eukaryota; Viridiplantae; Streptophyta; Magnoliopsida; Arecales; Arecaceae.